UUUUGAUUGUUACUAAACUUUU
Molecule: microRNA, 22 nt
Filed under: Haemonchus contortus (barber pole worm)
Lineage: Eukaryota; Metazoa; Nematoda; Chromadorea; Rhabditida; Trichostrongylidae
Description: hco-miR-5898-5p
Source: miRBase by way of RNAcentral